This is a non-coding RNA of Pelobates cultripes (western spadefoot toad), 312 nucleotides long. NCBI's taxonomy places the organism in Eukaryota, Metazoa, Chordata, Amphibia, Anura, Pelobatidae. The record is from the annotation of a GenBank genome assembly.
GACAUAGUUCCUUUUUUAUUGUUUUAUUACAUUUUAGUGUCUCUAAUAAAGUAUUUUACUUUUAACCCUGGUGGCCGGCAUCAUCUUACACUAGAGGGAGUGUAGUCCCUCACUACACAUUGCACGACUGCAGAGCCAUAGGGGCUCUAGGUUUGUAAGUACAUUUCUUACUUACCACUUCUCUUAUUUGAAAAUCAACUGUGCUACCCUAUUGUGUUUUUUUCCAACUUUCCUAGUACCACACACAGAUCUCUCCAUAGGGGUGGGUCGCUGUAACGGACCCGAAGCCAAAUACACCAGAGCUAGGUUUAU